This is a long non-coding RNA of Labrus mixtus (cuckoo wrasse), 321 nucleotides long. RefSeq lists it as uncharacterized. The transcript is spliced from 2 exons. The record is from RefSeq and is a predicted model, not a curated record. NCBI's taxonomy places the organism in Eukaryota, Metazoa, Chordata, Actinopteri, Labriformes, Labridae.
CCCGCCGACUUAGCACGAAGAAACAGAAUGGGACCACAUGGAGCGUGGAAGUUGAAUUUAAUCAGCGGAAAGUUGAUUAUCUUUCACAAGUGUGCCAUUAAAAGUGGAAGUCUGUGUGUGUGUGGACCUCUGUGUGUGUGUGUGGACCUCUGUGUGUGUGUGUGGACCUCUGUGUGUCGCUCGUCAUGUGAAAUUGGUUACGUCUGACGGCGGCGCAUGACUGCACAGAACUCAAAAACAAGCGAGCUGUUUUUUUUUUUCCCCCACUUUGGCCUGAGACGAGAAGAGUUCUCUUACGAACAUUUAAAGGCUCAGUUCACA